Pteropus vampyrus (large flying fox) is the source of this 130-nucleotide small nucleolar RNA. Lineage: Eukaryota; Metazoa; Chordata; Mammalia; Chiroptera; Pteropodidae. The record is from Ensembl.
UUUCCCAUUUAUUUGCUGCUAUAGUCUUUCAGUGAUAUGAGCAGUUAUACGCAUGGGAUACAAAAACAUUGGGCCAUUGCAAGUUGAGAUGGAAUAAUGGUUUCCUCUCUUCUGCAUAGUCUAGACAUUG